CUGGAAUGGAUUUUCGCUCAAAGGGCGCUUAGGGCAUGCUUCUAAGUGUUGCCCAAGGAUGGGGCCGCGGCCGAUCAGGUUGUUGGUGAGGUAAUGGCUCACCAGGCCUUUAACCGGUGCGGGCCGUGGGAGCGGGAGCCCGGAGAUGGGCACUGAGACAAGGGCCCAGGCCCUACGGGGCGCAGCAGUCGCGAAAACUUCGCAAUAAGCGAAAGCUUGACGGGGCUAUCCCGAGUGCCAUCCGCUGAGGAUGGCUUUUCCCUAGUAUAGAUAGCUGGAGGAAUAAGGAGAGGGCAAGUCUGGUGUCAGCCGCCGCGGUAAUACCAGCUCUCCGAGUGGUGGGGAUGAUUAUUGGGCCUAAAGCAUCCGUAGCCGGCUGGGCAAGUCCCCUGUCAAACCCAACGAUCUAAUCGUUGGCCUGCGGGGGAUACUGCUCGGCUAGGGGGCGAGAGAGGCCGUCGGUAUUCCCGGGGUAGGGGUGAAAUCCUAUAAUCCCGGGAGGACCACCAGUGGCGAAGGCUGUCGGCUAGAACGCGCUCGACGGUGAGGGAUGAAAGCUGGGGGAGCGAACCGGAUUAGAUACCCGGGUAGUCCCAGCUGUAAACGAUGCAGGCUAGGUGUUAGGGCGGCCACGUGCCGCUCUAGUGCCGCAGGGAAGCUGUUAAGCCUGCCGCCUGGGGAGUACGCCGGCAAGGCUGAACUUAAACCA
RNAcentral lists this ribosomal RNA (709 nucleotides) under uncultured soil archaeon. Its description in RNAcentral is "bacterial SSU rRNA". It matches the Rfam family "Archaeal small subunit ribosomal RNA", at positions 170 to 863 of the family's 1478-position model. The record is from RNAcentral.